This 506-nucleotide ribosomal RNA is filed under the name Escherichia coli. RNAcentral describes it as "partial 23S ribosomal RNA". It matches the Rfam family "Bacterial large subunit ribosomal RNA", at positions 14 to 559 of the family's 2925-position model. RNAcentral also lists the same sequence under 1 other name. The record is from RNAcentral. Lineage: Bacteria; Pseudomonadati; Pseudomonadota; Gammaproteobacteria; Enterobacterales; Enterobacteriaceae.
AGCGUACACGGUGGAUGCCCUGGCAGUCAGAGGCGAUGAAGGACGUGCUAAUCUGCGAUAAGCGUCGGUAAGGUGAUAUGAACCGUUAUAACCGGCGAUUUCCGAAUGGGGAAACCCAGUGUGAUUCGUCACACUAUCAUUAACUGAAUCCAUAGGUUAAUGAGGCGAACCGGGGGAACUGAAACAUCUAAGUACCCCGAGGAAAAGAAAUCAACCGAGAUUCCCCCAGUAGCGGCGAGCGAACGGGGAGCAGCCCAGAGCCUGAAUCAGUGUGUGUGUUAGUGGAAGCGUCUGGAAAGGCGUGCGAUACAGGGUGACAGCCCCGUACACAAAAAUGCACAUACUGUGAGCUCGAUGAGUAGGGCGGGACACGUGGUAUCCUGUCUGAAUAUGGGGGGACCAUCCUCCAAGGCUAAAUACUCCUGACUGACCGAUAGUGAACCAGUACCGUGAGGGAAAGGCGAAAAGAACCCCGGCGAGGGGAGUGAAAAAGAACCUGAAACCGU